GCGAGAAAAGGAAAAAAUUGAAAAAGUCUGCUGAAAAGGAAACUCCGUUGCGAGACAAAAUCGGAAGAGGAGAGAACAAGAAACACUCUCUCAAGCUCGGUCCAGCUUCAUUGCUCGGGAUUUGCUGUAAUGGCGGAGAAGAUCUCUCAUCUCUCCCACACAUUAGAGCCGAAAAGGGAUGCAUAUGGGUUUGCUCUAAGGCCUCAACACUUGCAAAGAUAUAGAGAGUAUGCUAAUAUUUACAAGGAAGAGGAAGACGAAAGAUCAGAGAAAUGGAAAAACUUCCUCGAACAACAAGCGGACACAGCUCAAAAUUGCUGGUCUCAGAGAUUGCAUAAGGAGAGUUUGCCAAGUGGAGUAAGUGAGCACAGAGACGGGACGGUUUCAGACAGGCCUGCGGAAGGGGAUGAUCCAAGUGACAACAAGCCUUCUGAUAGUCGAAUUGGAAGUAGCCCUGAAAGGGAAGUUCAUUCCACAGAAAACUUAAGGUCUAGGGAGCACAAAGACAGGACGGUUUCAGACAGGCCUGCUGAAGGGGAUGAUCCAAGUGACAACAAGCCUUCUGAUAGUCCAAUUGGAAGUAGCCUUGAAAGGGAAGUUCAUUCUACAGAAAACUUAAGGUCUAGUGAGCAUAGAGACGGGACAGUUUCAGACAGGCCUGCGGAAGGGGAUGAUCCAAGUGACAACAAGCCUUCUGAUAGUUCAAUUGGAAGUAGCCCUGAAAGGGAAGUUCAUUCUACAGAAAACUUAAGGUCUAGUGAGCACAGAGACGGGACGGUUUCAGACCGGCCUGCAGAAGGGGAUGAUCCAAGUGACAACAACAAGCCUUCUGAUAGUUCAAUUGGAAGUAGCCCUGAAAGGGAAGUUCAUUCUACAGAAAAACUAAAGUCUGAUAAGGUGCCAAGAUGGGCAAAUAUUAGACCAGUCCUCGGUGCAAUUGAGAAUAUGAUGAGUUUCCGUAUCGAGAAAGCAAAAAAUGUGGAGGAUGACUUGAAAGGUGUAAAUGGUGCUCAUCUUCCAACAGUUGAUGAAGUAAGUCACUUGGGACAAAAUUCUGAAGACGAUAGUGAGGGAGAUGUCGAAAUUGAUGAGGCAUCAAAUGGCAGUACCCAUUCGUGCAAAGGAGAAAGAGCUGCUAGUGAAGGGACGCCCUUGGAAUCUUCUUUCCCGUGGAGAGAAGAACUAGAAUGUCUUGUUCGAGGAGGAGUACCCAAGGAUCUAAGGGGUGAGGUAUGGCAAGCCUUUGUAGGUGUAAGAACACGUCGAAUAGAGAGAUACUACCAGGAUUUGCUGGCACGAGAAGCUAGUGAUGACGAGGGGAAAGCGCUUGACAAUUCAUGUGAUGUACAACAGAAAUUGAAAAAGCAGAUUGAGAAGGAUAUACCUCGGACAUUCCCAGGACAUCCUGCUUUAGAUGAGAAUGGCAGAAACUCAUUGAGGCGAUUACUUAUAGCAUAUGCACGACAUAAUCCCUCUGUUGGAUACUGUCAGGCAAUGAACUUCUUUGCUGGUUUGUUAUUGCUUCUGAUGCCUGAGGAAAAUGCCUUUUGGGCUUUAGUAGGCAUCAUUGAUGACUAUUUUGGUGGGUACUACACAGAAGAAAUGAUAGAAUCUCAGGUGGACCAACUCGUUUUUGAGGAGUUGAUGCGGGAGAGGUUUCCCAAACUGGUUAAUCAUCUGGAUUUCUUGGGAGUGCAGGUGGCAUGGAUCUCCGGGCCAUGGUUUCUUUCAAUUUUUGUGAAUAUGCUUCCAUGGGAGAGCGUCCUCCGAAUAUGGGAUGUGCUUCUAUUCGAAGGGAAUCGCGUAAUGCUUUUCCGAACUGCUCUUGCUUUGAUGGAGUUGUAUGGUCCUGCAAUCGUCACAACCAAGGAUGCUGGUGAUGCAAUAACUUUGCUACAAUCUCUUGCGGGUUCCACAUUUGAUAGUAGCCAACUUGUUUUGACUGCUUGCAUGGGUUUCUUGGCCAUAACUGAAGCUCGACUCCAUAACUUGAGAGAAAAACAUCGUCCCUCUGUCCUAGAGGUGGUUGAGGAAAGAUCAAGAAAGGGACGAGUGUGGAAGGACUCUAAAGGGCUUGCCACGAAACUAUACAGUUUUAAGCACGAUACUCCAUCACUUGUCAAAGAAACAAAAAGCAUUGAAAGGCCAGAAGAUGUAGCUGCGGAUGCAGAUGCGUCUCAUUUGGACAAUUCCUCCCACCUGGAAGAUCUUCUUGGUGGCUUGGCUGUUGAUUCAGAAGUUGAUUCUCUGCCAGAUCUCCAAGAACAGGUUGUUUGGUUGAAGGUUGAAUUAUGCAGGUUGCUGGAGGAGAAGAGAUCUGCCAUACUCAGAGCGGAGGAACUGGAGACCGCGCUUAUGGAGAUGGUGCAGCAGGACAAUCGGCUUCAAUUGAGUGCGAGGAUGGAGCAGCUGGAACAAGAGGUUACUGAACUAAGGCAAGCCCUUGCUGACAAGAAAGAACAAGAAACGGCAAUGCUUCAGUCAUACUUUUAGGUCCUGAUGCGGGUAGAGCAAGAGCAGAGGGUAACUGAAGAUGCUCGCAUUUGUGCGGAGCAAGAAGUUGCUGCUCAGAAAUAUGCAGUUCAUGUACUUCAGGAAAAAUAUGAGAUUGCUAUGAUUUCCCUGGCUCAAAUGGAAAAGAGGGUGGUCAUGGCAGAAUCCAUGCUGGAGGCCACCUUGCAGUAUGAAUCUGGCCAGAAUAAAGCACAGCAGUCUCCAGGGUACAUGAGUGACUCACAUAACGUCACCUUUAUGUUUGCAUAUGCACUCUUUCCUCCCUCCUUGUCCCCUCUUUACCAUCCAUCAUCGUUUCUGGAUAGUCACACAAAAUGGACUCAUUUUUAUUCCAACACGUGGUGAUCCACAAGUGAACGUUUGGAUACACGUAUUACUUGUGGGGAGUGUAGACAGAAACGCGUCAUCUCUCAUUUUGUUAUCCAAGUAAUGCUGUAAGGUGCUUCACCCUUAAAAGAGAGAGAUUAUAAAGUCCAGUGGGAAAGUAGAAGUGUAUAAAUUAUCAUGCACCUGUCCGGUCUUCCUCUACUCGUCUUCUUUUCUUUUGCUCUGCCUUGGGUUGGGGGUCUCUCACAAAGACCACAAAUUUACCAAGGAAGAUGACAUAUAGCACAGCUCUAAUGUUCUGAACUUUUGACUGAUGAUGUCUCUAAAGGUUUAUUUAUGUUAAUACCGCACUCCUGAAAUGAAGUGGCGACUCUAUCAACAUGUGAAGUGCCUAUAAACAUACCUUGCACAAGUAAAGGAGAACAUAAUUUUUUUCUCAUCAAGCGUUUUGCUUUCAAGUGAUUUGAUGCCUAACAAAGGUAGGCUUGUAGGUCUGCCCGCAGUCAGAGCUCUGCGCAGGAAACUCCCGCAAGAAGGAUAGGCCUUUUUGGACUUGGCUGGCGUGACA
Molecule: RNA transcript, 3409 nt
Organism: Rhodamnia argentea
Lineage: Eukaryota; Viridiplantae; Streptophyta; Magnoliopsida; Myrtales; Myrtaceae
Gene name: TBC1 domain family member 8B
Exons: 16
Source: RefSeq, a predicted model, not a curated record